RNAcentral lists this ribosomal RNA (468 nucleotides) under uncultured bacterium. Its description in RNAcentral is "partial 16S ribosomal RNA". It matches the Rfam family "Bacterial small subunit ribosomal RNA", at positions 28 to 507 of the family's 1533-position model. The record is from RNAcentral.
GACGAACGCUGGCGGCGUGCUUAACACAUGCAAGUCGAACGGAAAGGCCCUGCUUUUGUGGGGUGCUCGAGUGGCGAACGGGUGAGUAACACGUGAGUAACCUGCCCUUGACUUUGGGAUAACUUCAGGAAACUGGGGCUAAUACCGGAUAGGAGCUCCUGCUGCAUGGUGGGGGUUGGAAAGUUUAGGCGGUUGGGGAUGGACUCGCGGCUGAUCAGCUUGUUGGUGGGGUAGUGGCUUACCAAGGCUUUGACGGGUAGGCGGCCGGAGAGGGUGACCGGCCACCAUGGGCCUGCGGUACGGCCCAGACUCCUACGGGAGGCAGCAGUGGGGAAUAUUGCACAAUGGGCGGAAGCCUGAUGCAGCAACGCCGCGUGCGGGAUGACGGCCUUCGGGUUGUAAACCGCUUUCGCCUGUGACGAAGCGUGAGUGACGGUAAUGGGUAAAGAAGCACCGGCUAACUACGUG